GCGUGUGUGAAUCUCUGACAGAUGACUUUUCCUCCACAUUCAAGAGAAGCUGUGAUUGCUUCAAGUUUCAGUGCGUAACAAUGCGAGUGGAGUGAGAAACGGAUCGGAUGCAUUCAGAGAAACGCUCGGGAGCGGAUCGGCUAAGUGGAAGAGUCUGUCCGAGCGGCAGGUGUGAAACGGGAGGACGAGUUUAUUCCCCGCGGUGCGUUCCUCGACGAGGUGAAAGGUUUCAGGAGUGAAAGUGGGUCAGGCUCGCACGUCCUGCAGAGCACAGGUGAAACGAUUUCACUCGGACACUUUCAUUGGUCUGUGCAGGAGUGGCAGAUAGAAGGCAUGUCAGCAGGUGAUGUUUGCAUCUUUAACGUGUGUCCAGGAAAUUUCCCUUUUUUUUGGGGGGGGGGAUUUUUUUCUUUUUGAUAUUUGAUGAGGGGAAGUUGUUAUAAAGGAAUUGUAAAAAUGAGUGUAGAGGGGGGAAAAACCUCCUUCCUGUUCAACACAUGAAAUGUGUCUUUGCUGCAGGAAAGCAGCAUGUACAUUCAUGCAGACUGCUUUAGCCCCUCCCCUUUUAGAGCCACCUUUCUCCAGAUUGGCUAUAAAUGUAAGGCUUGAAGAGCAGUGUGUGCUUGAGAGGGUCCGAUAAAGAUGGCCCCUCUUUCACAUUAGAUUCUAGGGUAGAAAAAACUGUUGGAGACAUUAAAUGAAUUUUUUAACAUGUUUAAAUCAAGCAUUUAAUAAAGUAAUAUGUAUGCAUAGACAUAUUUAGGGUCUAUAUAAAGACCCUCAAUGCACAGGCCUUGGUCAGUGCCUGGUAAUACAGGUAAAAUGAUAAGACACUGACUUGUCUGUAAACACUCACCAACUAUGUGUUAUGUGGUUGUGAUACUGCGACGAGUGCAACACAGCCCAAAGUGCAGUAAAAGUUUAGCUUUAUUUUGAAGGCGAGCUGCACCCGUUUCCAGUUUCCUCACAGCAAACUUCUAAUGACCACAGCAACCCCAAGGAGGUUU
Long non-coding RNA from Astatotilapia calliptera (eastern happy), 1007 nucleotides. Lineage: Eukaryota; Metazoa; Chordata; Actinopteri; Cichliformes; Cichlidae. The record is from Ensembl.